This 530-nucleotide ribosomal RNA is filed under the name uncultured bacterium. RNAcentral's name for it is "bacterial SSU rRNA". It matches the Rfam family "Bacterial small subunit ribosomal RNA", at positions 355 to 896 of the family's 1533-position model. The record is from RNAcentral.
UGGGGAAUAUUGCACAAUGGGCGGAAGCCUGGUGCAGCGACGCCGCGUGGGGGAUGAAGGCCUUCGGGUUGUAAACUCCUUUCGACAGGGACGAAGCUUUUGUGACGGUACCUGUAUAAGAAGCACCGGCUAACUACGUGCCAGCAGCCGCGGUAAUACGUAGGGUGCGAGCGUUGUCCGGAAUUACUGGGCGUAAAGAGCUCGUAGGUGGUUUGUCGCGUCGUCUGUGAAAUUCCGGGGCUUAACUCCGGGCGUGCAGGCGAUACGGGCUGACUUGAGUGCUGUAGGGGAGACUGGAAUUCCUGGUGUAGCGGUGAAAUGCGCAGAUAUCAGGAGGAACACCGAUGGCGAAGGCAGGUCUCUGGGCAGUAACUGACGCUGAGGAGCGAAAGCAUGGGUAGCGAACAGGAUUAGAUACCCUGGUAGUCCAUGCCGUAAACGGUGGGCGCUAGGUGUAGGGGGCUUCCACGUCUUCUGUGCCGUAGCUAACGCAUUAAGCGCCCCGCCUGGGGAGUACGGCCGCAAGGCUA